CACGACAUACAUGGGCCAACUAACUAAUGAAGUCGUCUGUUCCCGAAAAUAGAAAUCUUGAGCCCAAAUAUCAAAAUGUUCAAGAAAUUUUUACAUAGGUACCUUGGAUAUAGCUGCCUAUUAACAGAAGGAGGCACUGAGAGUAGCCUGGUUAUAAUAUGUGCCUGAAACCUGGAGAGAUUAGUUUCCAAAUAAAGAGGCAAAUAAGGUCAUUUCCGGAGGUGUGCGUCAACCAAUAACUCAAAAGAAAAUUCCCGACAAACAACAAUUUAUAUAUCCACCUAGAUGAUCUUGGCAAUUAUCAAGUAUGCUGAUAAUAUAUAUCUACAAUUCUUGUAUUGUUUGCCCCGCAAAAAAGAUAAUAUAUAUCUACAGCAGAGAGGAAUCACCAUGCCAUCAAAUAUUUCUAUCUAUAAAGAAACAACUUCUUAGUGAGGCUUGAAAUAAGAAUAUACCAUCAUUAAUUUGGAGAUAAUACACCCUGACAUGUUUGGACCAUUGUUCCCACUAUUUCUAAGUAUCAAUGCUUUUACUUAUCUCCUAAAUUAUCACGUUCUAAGCUAAUAGACUAACAUACAAAAUGGAAGACUGAUAUUUUAGAUUCAAAAGAAAAUUCAAUGAGCAUAGACUACUGAAACUUAUAUCUGAAUAGCACCACUAUUGGUCCAUGGCAUCUGGCCGCUGCAGCAACACCAUUUUUAGCACCAGUGACAGCAUCAAUUGACAUCAUAGAUAGAUAGUUAAGGUUGUUGGCCCAAAUAUCAAAAUGUUCAAGAAAUUUUUACAUAGGUACCUUGGAUAUAGCUGCCUAUUAACAGAAGGAGGCACUGAGAGUAGCCUGGUUAUAAUAUGUGCCUGAAACCUGGAGAGAUUAGUUUCCAAAUAAAGAGGCAAAUAAGGUCAUUUCCGGAGGUGUGCGUCAACCAAUAACUCAAAAGAAAAUUCCCGACAAACAACAAUUUAUAUAUCCACCUAGAUGAUCUUGGCAAUUAUCAAGUAUGCUGAUAAUAUAUAUCUACAAUUCUUGCAUUGUUUGCCCCGCAAAAAAGAUAAUAUAUAUAUCUACAGCAGAGAGGAAUCACCAUGCCAUCAAAUAUUUCUAUCUAUAAAGAAACAACUUCUUAGUGAGGCUUGAAAUAAGAAUAUACCAUCAUUAAUUUGGAGAUAAUACACCCUGACAUGUUUGGACCAUUGUUCCCACUAUUUCUAAGUAUCAAUGCUUUUACUUAUCUCCUAAAUUAUCACGUUCUAAGCUAAUAGACUCACAUACAAAAUGGAAGACUGAUAUUUUAGCUUCAAAAGAAAAUUCAAUGAGCAUAGACUACUGAAACUUAUAUCUGAAUACCACCACUAUUGGUCCAUGGCAUCUGGCCGCUGCAGCAACACCAUUUUUAGCACCAGUGACAGCAUCAAUUGACAUCAUAGAUAGAUAGUUAAGGUUGUUGGCUUCUUGAGUAAGACCAUAGCAGUCCCAGGUCACAUCACCCUCGACAGGAGAAGAGCCGCAAGGCAGCUAAUUGACAGCCACUUUAUCAGUACGACCUGCGAAACCAAGCACAUCGUCUCCAAAUGAACCCCAACCCCUGCCAAGGGCCUUGACCUGGUGGUCCUUUUUCUCCACCUUAGUCUUCAGAUCCUUUAUAUUUUGAUUCUUCUCAGCGACACUGCUUGAAAGGUACUUCAUCUCGGUCUUAAUCUUUUGCAUUUGAGGGCAAUCAAAUCCAAUACUCAUGGUGUCUUGAAGAAGCUCCAAGCACCGAGUAGCAGCAUUCUGCAUGGCCACAGCAACAUCCACAACUGGUUCACCAUGGAUCUCCAUAUGCAUUGAUGCCGCAAACGAGCGCGACUGCGAUGGCCAUAAGUAAAUAGUAGCCCCGACACAACCAUGGUAAGAUGCGUAGGUCUUGUACUCCACUUAGGGUAAACCAGCUUCAGCAAGAAUAGAGUGAAGCACAUCCUUUGGCCUAACGGUAACAGAACGCUUCAUCUGUCAAAACAUGCAAACGGGAAAAUUACUCACAUGAGAUAAAUAACAUAAAAGGAACGCGAAGAUAUACCAAACGAGCAAAGGCACAAGCAACACCAAAGGACCGCUCUGGUCCCAGGCAAAAGAAUAGAG
This 2119-nucleotide long non-coding RNA is filed under the name Triticum aestivum (bread wheat). RNAcentral's name for it is "long non-coding RNA (TAES_LNC023013)". Lineage: Eukaryota; Viridiplantae; Streptophyta; Magnoliopsida; Poales; Poaceae. The record is from RNAcentral.